AUGGCCGCCGCACGCGACCUUGCCGGCAACCAGCCCGGAUCCACCCGCGUCUGCGUCGGGGAAGACGUCGCCUUGUCGGACGUCACAGGCGUCUACGACCGCGACGACUCCCUCAAGGAGAACACCAACCCUAAAUGCAUCAUCGUCAAGAACUGCCCUGGCCACAAGGCCGGCAACGGCGCGGCGCAGCGGUUCCCGGGCAACCUGAAGCCUACGGCGGCGCCCAUCAUCGGGAUCUCCGGAAACCUCGGCCAGGGGUGUGCCCGGCGGCACCGCCCACCUGCGAUGUUCCCAAAGAAUGCCAAGACCGGCGGCGGCGGGCGCAACCCGAAGCCGGCGGUGCCGGAGCCGGGGUCGCCCAAGGUGUCCUGCAUGGGGAAGGUUCUAUCUGGACGAGAGCGCGACCGCUGCCGGGAGCUAUCUGGACGAGAGCGCGACCGCUGCCGGGAGCUGAUCUCCCCGGAGAAGAUGAAGGGCGGCUGCUGCCCCUGGUUCGGUUUCCCGAUCCGUCGCAGCCGCUCGAGGAAGAGGAUGGACGCUUGGCGAGAUCUGGGCCGUUGUAGCGCGUGUAGGGCUGGUGAUGGUGAAUACUACUCGAAAACUUGCAGUAGAUGA
This 615-nucleotide ribosomal RNA is filed under the name Triticum aestivum (bread wheat). RNAcentral describes it as "partial small subunit ribosomal RNA". Lineage: Eukaryota; Viridiplantae; Streptophyta; Magnoliopsida; Poales; Poaceae. The record is from RNAcentral.